This 392-nucleotide ribosomal RNA is filed under the name Chrysophyceae sp. RNAcentral's name for it is "partial small subunit ribosomal RNA". It matches the Rfam family "Eukaryotic small subunit ribosomal RNA", at positions 582 to 975 of the family's 1831-position model. The record is from RNAcentral. Lineage: Eukaryota; Chrysophyceae.
AUUCCAGCUCCAAUAGCGUAUACUAAAGUUGUUGCAGUUAAAAAGCUCGUAGUUGAAUUUCUGGUCUUGGACAGCGGUCUGCCUCAAACGAGGUACGCACCAUCUAUCCGAGUCCAUCCUCGGGGAAAACAUGUCUGUGAUUCAGUUCAUGGGCAUGGGAUCCUCGUCAUUUACUGUGAGCAAAAUAGAGUGUUCAAAGCAGGCUUAUGCCGUUGAAUAUUUUAGCAUGGAAUAAUAAGAUAAGACCUUGGUCUAUUUUGUUGGUUUCGAACACCGGAGUAAUGAUUAACAGGGACAGUCAGGGGCUCUCGUAUUCCGCCGAGAGAGGUGAAAUUCUCAGACCAGCGGAAGACGAACCACUGCGAAAGCAUUUGCCAGGGAUGUUUUCAUCA